ACGAACGCUGGCGGCGCGCCUAACACAUGCAAGUCGAACGAGAGAGAGGGAGCUUGCUUCCUUGAUCGAGUGGCGAACGGGUGAGUAACGCGUGAGGAACCUGCCUCAAAGAGGGGGACAACAGUUGGAAACGACUGCUAAUACCGCAUAAGCCCACGACCCGGCAUCGGGAAGAGGGAAAAGGAGCAAUCCGCUUAGAGAUGGCCUCGCGUCCGAUUAGCUAGUUGGUGAGGUAACGGCCCACCAAGGCGACGAUCGGUAGCCGGACUGAGAGGUUGAACGGCCACAUUGGGACUGAGACACGGCCCAGACUCCUACGGGAGGCAGCAGUGGGGAAUAUUGCACAAUGGGGGAAACCCUGAUGCAGCGACGCCGCGUGGAGGAAGAAGGUCUUCGGAUUGUAAACUCCUGUUGUUGAGGAAGAUAAUGACGGUACUCAACAAGGAAGUGACGGCUAACUACGUGCCAGCCGCCGCCGUAA
This 481-nucleotide ribosomal RNA is filed under the name uncultured bacterium. RNAcentral describes it as "partial 16S ribosomal RNA". It matches the Rfam family "Bacterial small subunit ribosomal RNA", at positions 29 to 523 of the family's 1533-position model. The record is from RNAcentral.